RNAcentral lists this long non-coding RNA (715 nucleotides) under Mus caroli (Ryukyu mouse). RNAcentral's name for it is "lncRNA (MGP_CAROLIEiJ_G0006049.1)". The record is from RNAcentral. Lineage: Eukaryota; Metazoa; Chordata; Mammalia; Rodentia; Muridae.
GGGAGGUCUUGUAGAAAUGCAUACAGGAUACUGGAACACACGAAUUAACAGAAAUUCGCAAUCCUUCUCCUCUAUUUUUUUCUAGACUAGAAGACACAUGGAAAAGAGCAGAGGUGACCUACCUAAGGUCACACUUCUGGUUGGUGUCCUAAGAUUCAACCGAAUGCAGAGAACUCACUACCAUCAGGUCCCGUGAAGACGUGCUGAAUGGCCUCCACGGCUCUCCAACUUGAGAUGCAUGAGGCUCAUCCUAUGAAUGGACAUAAAAUGUACAAGCAAGCUCUCAGCCAACACGGAGAUUCUGACUCACUGGGAGCCCUGGACUGGGAUAAAAUCACUGUGAACCUCUCAACUUGAAGUGUUCCUAAAAACACCCAAGGUCAUGAACCAAAAGUGGCGUUUUGCGUGUGACUCGAGUUAUCCUGCGCCUCACUCUCUAAGUGAAAGACCGAGCUAGAGUGCAAUGCCCACCAUGCACACUGUUCCUAGUGCUAAAUAAAAGCAUCCAAAGCCUACAAAACUACUACUUAUCACGGAUUCAGAUUUCUAAUUAGGAAACAGAGGACAACAGAACACCUGGGUCAGCUGCUGACCAGUGUGGUGAGAGAACACCAGCGCAGGGCAGAGGGCAGAGGCUGAAGGAGGAGGGUGGAACACUGCUGCUUCAUGAGGAGACACGUCGUGGAGAAGGUGGGCUUUGUCUAAAGAUCUGAAG